GCCAGAAUGAUCGCUAACGGUAUGCAUUCACAUGCCAGUUACAUUAUUAUUUUAAAUAUUUAAAAUAAUAAAUUGUAGCGAACGGGUGAGUAACGUAUAAGAAUCUGCUAUUAUUUUUAAUAAUGAGCUUAUAUCUAAUUAGUUAGUUGGUGGGAUAAUAGCCUACCAAGACUAUGAUUAGUAGCUGGUCUGUGAGGACGGUCAGCCACACUAGGACUGAGACAAGGCCUAGACUUCUUUUUUGAAGUCUGCAGUGGGGAAUAUUCCGCAAUGAGCGAAAGCUUGACGGAGCAUAUCGUGUGAAUUAAUAGUUCUAUAUUAAGCAAAUAUAAUGAAUAGCUUAAGAAAAGUAUCGGCUAAUAUCUGUGCCAGCAGCCGCGGUAACACAGAAGAUGCGAGCGUUAUUCGGUAUUAUUGGGUGUAAAGGGUUUGUAGGUUUUUUAUUAAGUCUUUUGUUAAAUAAUAAGAAAAUUUAUUAAUCAAAAGUUACUAAUAGAAUUGAGUAUAAAUUUUAGCGUAGAAGGAAUUUUUUAUGUAAUAAUAAAAUAUUUAAAUAUAAAAAGGAACAUCAAAGGCGAAGGCAUUCUACUUAUUUAUACUGACAUUGAGGAACGAAAACUAUGGUAGCAAAUGGGAUUAGAGACCCCGGUAGACAUAGUUGUAAACGAUGAAUACUAAAUUUAAUUAUUUAUUUUUAAUUUUUAAAUUAAAGCUAACGGGUAAAGUAUUCCACCUGGGGAGUACGUUUUUAUUAAUGAAACUCAAAGGAAUUGGCGAGGGUUCUUAUUAACGAUGGAGUAUGUGGUUUAAUUCGAUACUUUAGCGAUUACCAAUUUUUUUAAUUAAUGUAAAAAUUUAUUAAAAGGUGGUGCAUGGCUGUUGUCAGUUCGUGCUGUGAAGUGUUAGGUUAAGUCCUAAAACGAACGCAACCCUCUUAAUUUAUUAUAAAAUAUGUAGUUAUUAAACUUUUUUUUUGUUUGGGAGAUCGCGAUAAAUAAUAACUUUUAUUUACUCUUUUUAUAAAUUAUAAAGUUUUUUAAUUAAUAGUAUUUAUCAAAAUUAAACUUCUAAAAAUAAAAAAAUAAAAUAGAGGAAGGGGGACCAUAGCAAGUCAAUAUGCCCCUUAUAAAUUGGGCUACGCGCGUACUACAAUGGAAUAUACAAUCUAUAUCAAUAAAAUAUUCCUCAGUUCGGAUUGCGAAUCUAAGCUCAUUCGCAUGAAGUAGGAAUCGUAAGUAAUCGUAUAACUUUUAUACGGUGAAAUUAGUAUUCCUCCUUUAAUAGGGGGAAGAGACGAAAUAAGAAUCUUGUACACACUGCCCGUCACGUUACGGCGAUUUUAUUACGUUAAGUCUUCCUUUAUAGGGGGAUGUUCGUAAAAGAGUUCUG
This 1389-nucleotide ribosomal RNA is filed under the name Pilostyles coccoidea. RNAcentral's name for it is "partial 16S small subunit ribosomal RNA". It matches the Rfam family "Bacterial small subunit ribosomal RNA". The record is from RNAcentral. Lineage: Eukaryota; Viridiplantae; Streptophyta; Magnoliopsida; Cucurbitales; Apodanthaceae.